AUUGAACGCUGGCGGCAGGCCUAACACAUGCAAGUCGAGCGGAUGAAGGGAGCUUGCUCCUGGAUUCAGCGGCGGACGGGUGAGUAAUGCCUAGGAAUCUGCCUGGUAGGGGGGGAUAACGUCCGGAAACGGGCGCUAAUACCGCAUACGUCCUGAGGGAGAAAGGGGGGGAUCGUCGGACCUCACGCUAUCAGAUGAGCCUAGGUCGGAUUAGCUAGUUGGUGGGGUAAAGGCCUACCAAGGCGACGAUCCGUAACUGGUCUGAGAGGAUGAUCAGUCACACUGGAACUGAGACACGGUCCAGACUCCUACGGGAGGCAGCAGUGGGGAAUAUUGGACAAUGGGCGCAAGCCUGAUCCAGCCAUGCCGCGUGUGUGAAGAAGGUCUUCGGAUUGUAAAGCACUUUAAGUUGGGAGGAAGGGCAGUAAGUUAAUACCUUGCUGUUUUGACGUUACCAACAGAAUAAGCACCGGCUAACUUCGUG
Molecule: ribosomal RNA, 484 nt
Filed under: uncultured bacterium
Lineage: Bacteria
Description: partial 16S ribosomal RNA
Rfam family: Bacterial small subunit ribosomal RNA
Source: RNAcentral